AGGGGUGGACAGACCUGUCGGCCUGGGCUCUAGUGGGGCAGGGGCUUUGGAAGGUUGAGGACGGACUGGGUGGCUGGCCAUCAUGACACGUGCAAACUUGGCUUUAGGGCCACGCGGGAUCGCGAGCUGAGCUUUCCUCGGGUUCCGGUUACAGACGCUAGGAGACGCCUGAACUUAGCUGACCGGAACUUACCUGUAUCCCAAAAACUUACUUCCAUGACGGUGGGAGGGAAACAGCAGCAACGUUGAUAGAAUCAGUGGAGGACACGGCUCUCUUCCCCAAAACUGCCCACGUUCAAGUAAGAGCCCCCUUUAGCCCUUACCUCUUCUUCCACCCGCUCCCCGCCCCCCACAUCUUUGUUGCAAAGUGAGGAUUUGAUUUUGCACAGCUCUGAGUACUUAAGCUGCAUGAUCUGAUUUCUUGGCAUAGAUCAGUGUCUGUCCACGUGACCGCCCAAGUUCUCCUUUGUUCCAUCCGCCCCAUACACGUUCGUGGGAAUGAUCUGAUUACAUACACCAUUGUGGCUACAGCCCUAAGUCCAUAAUAAAGCCAUUCUGAUGCUCCUAA
Long non-coding RNA from Mirounga angustirostris (Northern elephant seal), 568 nucleotides. RefSeq lists it as uncharacterized. NCBI's taxonomy places the organism in Eukaryota, Metazoa, Chordata, Mammalia, Carnivora, Phocidae. The record is from RefSeq and is a predicted model, not a curated record. The transcript has 2 exons.